Molecule: non-coding RNA, 316 nt
Organism: Pelobates cultripes (western spadefoot toad)
Lineage: Eukaryota; Metazoa; Chordata; Amphibia; Anura; Pelobatidae
Source: the annotation of a GenBank genome assembly
AGUGACAGAGUUAGGGAGGGAAGGGGUGACUAGUGACAGAGUGAGGAAGGGGGUGAAAAGUGACAGAGGGAGGGGUGACUAGGGACAGAGUGAGGGAGGUAGUGACUAGUGACUAGUGACAGUCACCACCUCCCUCACUCUGUCACUAGUCACCACCUCCCUCACUCUGUCACUGGUCACCCACUCCCUCCCUCACUCCCUCUGUCACUGGUCACCCACUCCCUCCCUCACUCUGUCACAAGUCAUCCCCUCACUCUGUCACUAGAAACCCAUUCCUUCCCUCACUCUGUCACCUGUCACCCCCCUUACUCUGUCA